AAUAAUAACAACAUAAAAUUAUUAUGGUGACAUUUUUUCUGUGCUGUAUUAAGGUUACCAGAGUCAGCUGGGGAUUCAUGAACAUCAUCAGUGAUGUUUCUCCACAGCGGGCUCAUCAGUACCUGGUGACAAAAGGUCAAUCCAGCUCUGACUUGAGGCUGUUCAAGAAUCUGCGCCACUUGAUCUGGUUCCACCUCUACCACAGGCAGAGAAACACAGGCCUGGACUCUUUGUUGGCCAGACAAAAUCAGGAACGAAAUCAUUGGUUUUCACAACUGGGUCCAGUUCCACCUGCAAAGGAUAUAAGGCCAGGGAGCAUGAUUUGAUUACAGGAAGUCUCUGGCUGUGUUGCUGAAUCUGCCGGUGCAAGAUCAGACAUGGAUGGAUGAGGUGCUGCAACUGAGACCUGCCGUUUGUCUUUUCUGGUCGGCGAGUGGAGAAUCACACACAGUGGUCUGCAAAGAGAGCUUCAGGAUGCUUCCUCCCACUGUCCACUGCAUCGUCCAUCCACAGGGUUUGCAGGGCUGGCUCAAUCCAUGGCCACCACACCACUAACAUGUUUUCAGAAAUAUGCAAGCAGGAGAUAGUGGAUGGUAUAUUACUACUAGUACAAUACUUUUAACUUUGUAGCAGACAACACUUUGAUAAAAUGCUAUGAAAAAAAGAAACCAACAGAUUAGAUUCUAAAAGUUUCAAAGAGAUUUAAUUUACAUAUUUUAUAUAAUAAAGUAAAUGUACGAAUGACCGGCAAUAAUUCAGUCACUGAAAUUAUCCAUGAAAUUAGCUAAUUAAUUCCUAAAAGUGU
This is a long non-coding RNA of Oreochromis aureus, 805 nucleotides long. Lineage: Eukaryota; Metazoa; Chordata; Actinopteri; Cichliformes; Cichlidae. The record is from Ensembl.